Long non-coding RNA from Hemiscyllium ocellatum (epaulette shark), 924 nucleotides. RefSeq lists it as uncharacterized. The record is from RefSeq and is a predicted model, not a curated record. NCBI's taxonomy places the organism in Eukaryota, Metazoa, Chordata, Chondrichthyes, Orectolobiformes, Hemiscylliidae. The transcript has 4 exons.
CUCACCUUGCUGGCCGAGUUACUGGCUCCCAGCCUCUCCCCUCCCCUGAUUCAUCCCUCCUCUGUUAUCAUUCCAGAGGAAACUCAGCUCUUUAUCAUCUCUGAGGUACUAACCAAAACACAGACAGCUCGUCGCUCAGGGUGCGUGACUGCCACAGAGCCACUCCCAGUGGCUUCUCCACAUGCAGCUUUUCCUGAGUCCUGGUGUUACCUCAUCUAAAUAGAUCAUUUUUCACAUGUGACUGGCCAUUUGACUAUGGAGGGCAUCACACCUGUAGGUAAGGCCCAGAGCAAGAAGAGCAGUCAGCCCACAAUGAAUACCCAGGAAAGGCCUGUGGCACAGCAGAACGCUGCUACCAGUCAGUCGGAUGGUGGGUGCAUGGGAAAAGCUACAAGGCAAGGAGAUCCAGGGGCAAUAAACAGGAUACUCAACACCAACAAUAAAAACCUAAGUGCCCGUAGCUGGGAUGCUGUGAUGGCACCAGAUUCCGGUCACAGAGCGUGGCAGUCUGAACAAGAUUCAGCAUAACAGGUAGUGGGAAGACUUCUACAAGUGCUUCAACUAGAGAUAACUUCUCCAUGUAUGUCAAAGUUCUUGGAAUACUGGGAAAUAGUGAGAUUUAACCAUCAUUGACAAUAGAAGACUGUAGCAGAUCCGAAUAAAUUGGAUUCUAAAUCACUUUAACGUCAAGUGCUUGAGAAGGACAUCACUGCUGCAAUACAAGACUUACAAGUUGUCCCAAAAUAUAUCAUGAAAUUCUGUGGCACUAUAAUGUACUAAAGGAUGAAUUGGUCAUUGCCAGACCAUUUACACAACUCGGUAUGAUCCAAUAGAUUUCCCCAAUAAGGUACCCGACAACCUCAUAUAAAGUGCUGUUUCCUCUUUCUCCCCUCUUCCUUGAACUCCAGCCAAACUGCACAGCCU